RNAcentral lists this ribosomal RNA (425 nucleotides) under uncultured bacterium. Its description in RNAcentral is "partial 16S ribosomal RNA". It matches the Rfam family "Bacterial small subunit ribosomal RNA", at positions 354 to 796 of the family's 1533-position model. The record is from RNAcentral.
GUGGGGAAUCUUGCGCAAUGGGCGAAAGUCUGACGCAGCCAUGCCGCGUGAAUGAUGAAGGUCUUAGGAUUGUAAAAUUCUUUCACCGGGGACGAUAAUGACGGUACCCGGAGAAGAAGCCCCUGCUAACUUCGUGCCAGCAGCCGCGGUAAUACGAAGGGGGCUAGCGUUGCUCGGAAUUACUGGGCGUAAAGGGCGCGUAGGCGGACAGCUUAGUCAGAGGUGAAAGCCCAGGGCUCAACCUUGGAAUUGCCUUUGAUACUGGCUGUGUUGAGUUUGGGAGAGGUGAGUGGAAAUCCGAGUGUAGAGGUGAAAUUCGUAGAUAUUCGGAAGAACACCAGUGGCGAAGGCGACUCACUGGCCCAAUACUGACGCUGAGGCGCGAAAGCGUGGGGAGCAAACAGGAUUAGAUACCCUGGUAGUCC